Molecule: unclassified non-coding RNA, 3012 nt
Filed under: Hevea brasiliensis (rubber tree)
Lineage: Eukaryota; Viridiplantae; Streptophyta; Magnoliopsida; Malpighiales; Euphorbiaceae
Source: RNAcentral
AAAAAAAAUAAAAAAAAAAAAGGAAGAAGAAGAGAAGUGACCAUCGCAGACCUAGACGAGCAAGGACUGAAAGAAGAAGAAGAAGAAGAUCAAACCUGGCUUACUGCUCUGCUUCCCAGUGAUGCAGGUAUUUAUUUUUUUAUUUUUUAUUUUUAUUGUAACAGUCGUUACCGUGUCAUAAUGUUAAAGUCCAUUAACAUAGCUUUUUUGUCAAGUAAAGGCCAUUCUGAGUGUUACCAUAUAGAACAUGUUGUUUUGGUUGAGAAAGCUGCAGACAAACCCACUUUCCUAAGCUACCAACACUUCCAUUUCCUAAAAACAUUCCUUUGCGCUGUUUGUUUUCAUUUCUUUAAACCACUUCAAACCAAUUCUAUAUUUCAUUGAAAAUAAAGAAACAAAUAUGAAGAAAGGACCAAGGAGUUUAGUUAAGGUUUGAUUUCUUAAUAAAUCACAGUUGAGAUCUAAAAUUGAAAAUUCUGAAUUAAGUUUGGAUGGUUGAUUCUUUUCCCCACCUUAAAAUCAUUGAGAGGCUGAAUUUGCCCAAAACUCACUAAAUCAUGCAAGGAGCAAAGAGCACCAAUUUCCAUUUUUACAGGUUCUCGAAAGCACCUAUCUUGAAUGGACAACAUUAGAUUGUUUACAAUAUCUGUUAAUCACUGCGAUUAGAACCUUGAUCUUCUCCUUCUUCAAGAUGGAAAUCAGCAAGACACUUCAAGAUUGGUUUGCAAUCCUUGACAGGGGCAAGUUCCAAUACUUUAGCAUAAGCUCUUAUAGAUUCUCCGAUUUGAUCAAAUUUAUGAUGAAAUAUCUGUGUAUUUCUCAAUUGUCUUUUGGAAUUCAUCCAUUUUUCUUGUAAACUUUCUAGAAUUCUCUAAUAUGUUUGUAACAAAGAGAAAUAAAGAAAGAAUUUAGAAAAACCAGAGUGUUGUUGCUCUGAUACCAAUUGUUGUGACCCAGUCACGACAAGAGUAUUUGGGUAGUGAGAAAGCAAAGGAAAGGAGAGAAAAGUAGAAAAAAGGGAAGAGAUUACCAAGAGAAUAGAUAGAAGGGAAAGGAAGAGAAAAGAGAGAAAUAAAAGGAAGAUUUGGGAGAGAGGAGAAGAAGAAUUUAAAAGGAAAUUAUGUUGAAUUCUUUUAUUAGCUUCCCUUUACCAUGGCUCAUAGCGCAUUUCUAUUAGUAGUUAAUUCUCCAAGUGUGAAUUGGUUAGAAAACAGAAUUCCUAACCACUCUUAACUGUUCUAAUUAUUGUUCUAACAUCAGCCUAAGAUAAAAGAUAUAUUGCGCCAGCCACCAUAUAAAGACAGAACUUUCUUUUUUAUUUACCAUUUACCCCAUUGUUCCCCUGUAAUAAUCAUUACUUUCUUUCAAAUAUCGAAAAGUUUUGGGGAAAAUUUUCAGUAAACAUGAAAUUGAAUUAUCACACUUAUUUUGCACUCCAAUUGACUACCAGGUAGUAUAGGUGAAAAUUCUAGAAAAUAUGAAACCAUCACCAUAAGGCCAGUACCAAGCUUCAACUUCUCUGCUAUAUUUAUCUUCCCAAUGUCAAAUAAAUGUGAAGCCUCUAUACCUUAGUUACACAAUGGAACAAAAUCAAAACCAAUAUACUUAAUGACUUGACAUAAAAGAAGAGUUGGUUUGUGUAGGAUGAUUACAAUCGCAAUGAAGUUGUAUUCUAAUGCAAGUGCCAUUCAUAACAAGUUAUGGUAACAUUACAAAUAUUUGUUUUAUACUUUGAUUUUGAAUAAGGAUAUAACGGUCAAGUAAUUAUAUAUGUUUUCCUUUACUCCAUUAACAUUGGCUGGUUAAAGACUUAGAUCUUCAUUCUAUUAAAACUCACGGGAACAGGACCAGGCUAAAAGUUCUGUAAGAUUCAUGUCAAGCAUAUGUUUCCUUGUUAUAUUGAUGAUGAUUACCUACCAUGUGAACAAGGUUUCCUCUAUAUACAAAAUGAUGGGACCAUUGUUAUGUUUACAGUGGAACCAAAGCUCCCUUACUAAGUGACAAUUCCUGUUGUCAUAUAUUAUAGUGGUAUAUGUUGACUAUCAUGUCAUCUUUUUUCAUAUUUUAUUGCUUCAGCAGUCUAUUCUUAUUGUGUGAUGUUGGAACUUGGACAGUAACUCUAUGACAAGACACUCACAAAUAUUCUUCUUUCUAAUUUGGUAAACUAUGAAAAUCUAUGUUUCCCUUCUACAUUAAAUUAGAUUCUAAUGUCUCAAGCAAACAAUAAAAAGAGCUCUAGCGGAACUGACACAGGUACACUUCCACCUGCAGAUGUAGACAUAAAAAGGCUGAAAAGCACAACUGCAUCAAAUUAGAAAGAAACAAAUAGUUGGAGUUAUUGGUUGCAGAGCAGGAAAGACCCAACUCACUGGUAUCCACAGAUAAUCAACAGUUGCCAAAAAGGCAGGGAAGGAAAAGCAACUAUUCUUCCCACAGGCAUAUUUCCACUUUAUAAGAUGAAGUUCAUGGUUUAAGCAUACAAUUCUAGGUGACUUUAGUAAUAUGCAACUAAUGCUAUUAAGAUGAUAUCCUUUUCGUGGGAAUAGAAACCCAGCCAGCAAUAAAUCAAUAAAACGAAAAAUAUUUGAGGAGAAGCAAUUUUUAAAAAGGCACAGGGUUCUUCAAAAGUAGGGAUAAAAAACAAGUUAAUUUCUUUCCAAUCUCCAGUCACCAUGACAAUAGGGAUCUCAAACAAACUCUUGAAUGAGGCUGGGUAACUACUCUUGUAGAUCUCAUACAAAAGAUAUAUCGUACAUACAGCCAGAAAUAAUAUCCAUUGGCCCACACAGCAUGCGUAUAUUAAAUUGCAACUCAAUGUUCUAAUGAAUUUUUGAGUAACCUCCUUGGUCCUUCCAAAAGCGUUUAGCCACAAAGCAAACAAGCAAUUCACAGAGUUGCAACAAACCUUACCUCCUAGUAGAUGUGACCACUGCCUAUAAAGAAAAUGAUCUAAGUUUUAAUUCACUUGAUAAUUGAUGAGAAUUCUUACCAAAUUCCUUUGCAGCAUUCACU